GCGCUUCACUUAAUUACGAACACCUGACCUGCAGUGUAGCAGAAUUCAGAGGUAAGCGUGUUUUUUGAUUCUUUAAUCUUUUAUUUACCCCCGAUUUUGUUUUACACACAGUUUAUCUUAGACGUGACUUUUGAGGUGUAGUAUUUCGAAUUUUGAAGCUUUUAAAACUUUCCAGUUUGGUUUUAGUCUUGUUUGCGCUUCUGUGACGCAGCAGCUAACCUCGAGGUAAUGUCACAUGUUUAACGUUAGUCUAAAUGAGCGUUUUUAUGGCAAAUUCAAAGCGAUAAACUCCAAACGCAGUUUAAAGUUACUGAGCAACGUUAUAAAACAAUAUCUUUUUUAUAUACGCUGUAUAAUUAGUGUUAUUAUUACAAAGUGAACUGCUGUCGUUUCACUGUUGUUGUUGUUUUUGCUUUUAGAGAUGUAACUUACUCCAGAGACGCACUAACUUGCACAGCAUUGAAUGGAAAAGGCUUUGUCCAUGUCCAGUUGAGGGCAUCAAGAACACGCAGAUGGCCUAAACCUGUGUCAGUCUGGACAGACUGCAGAUCUGCUACUCAACGCCAAGGCUUUUGUAUGGAUGUCUGACUACUACUGUGUUCUCUAAAGGUUUUCUGGAAGCUCCAGUUGAGGGCUUCAAGGACAAACCGAUGGCCUAAACAAGUGUCAGCCUGGACAGACAUCUAUUGCAGUUCUGCUACACAAGACCAAACUCUCUGCUUUUGUAUGGAUGUCUGACUAGUACGGUGUUCUCUGGAGGUAUUACUGGAGCAAAACAACAGCAUCCGUUACAGUG
Molecule: non-coding RNA, 796 nt
Organism: Danio rerio (zebrafish)
Lineage: Eukaryota; Metazoa; Chordata; Actinopteri; Cypriniformes; Danionidae
Source: Ensembl